AAAGAACAUUUGCUCAUUGUGAUUAUGGGAUAUGGAUGAGGAUGAUGUUUGGAUUUUCUUUUCCUCUUUAGGCUAUCGCAGACGCUGGACAGUGACUCCACUGCCGUGGUUGGUCCAUUUGUUCCUUGGACGAGGCAUCUCUCCCUCUCCAAACAAAAUGGAUCGCAGAAGGCCAGGAGCUGAGACCAAUACGCUGUAUACAGCUUUCGUCAGAGAUGAGCAAGAGAAUCAAUGCCUGCUCACCAAAUGUUUGUUCAAUUGCCAAAGAGACGGAUUAGGUCCCACGCACGCAUGACAGACAAAGCAAACACGUAGAAUCCCUUUCUUUUCCUUAACUUUCCCUUCCCUUCCCUUCCUCAGACUUCCCCUUCUCAAUAAAUAAUUCUAAAAGUUGUUCAAGUAAACCCUCCUUGCAAUUUUUUUUAUCACCUUUUUACGUCCACCCCUAACAGAGACACAAACUAACUCUUACAUAUAUAUUAUCAUAUAUGCUUGCCGGCGAUGCCCACGCUGGUCAGCUUAGCUAGGCAAUUUUUAACGGACGAGGCUGCGCGUGUUCUCGACGAUGCUGUUGCCGUAGCGCGUCGCCGGAGCCACGCCCAGACUACUUCUCUCCAUGCGGUUUCUGCUUUGCUAGCUUUGCCGUCUUCUAUACUCCGUGACGCUUGUGCACGCUCCAGAAACAGUGCUUGUUCGUCGCGCCUUCAGUUUGGCGCGCUCGAGCUUUGCGUUGGUGUCUCUCUUGAUCGCUUGCCUUCUUCGAAAACCGCAGAUGAACCUCCAAUCUCGAAUUCACUUAUGGCGGCAAUCAAACGGUCGCAGGCCAAUCAGCGGAGGCACUCUGAUAAUUUUCAGUUGCAGCAAAUACACUGUAACCAGCAACCAGCGUCGGUUUUGAAGGUCGAGCUUAAGCACUUUAUUUUAUCAAUUAUGGAUGAUCCGAUUGUGAGUCGGGUAUUUGGGGAGGCCGGGUUUCGGAGUUGUGAUAUUAAGUUAGCCGUUAUUCACCCGCCGGUGACACAUGCUUCGAAUUUCUCGCGGACAAGGUGCCCGCCGGUUUUCCUUUGUAAUUUGACUGGUUCGGAACUUGGUCGACCCGAUUCGAGCUUCCCGUCUAGUGGGCGCGAGGAUGGGGAAGAGAAUUGUAGGAGAAUUGCUGAGGCUUUAGUGAAGGGGAAGAAUCUGUUGCUUCUUGGUGCUUGUGCUAGUGAUGCGUUAAAUAGAUUUAUCGAAUGUGUAAAUACAGAUGGAGGAGGAAUUUUGCCCACCGAGAUUGCUGGGUUAAGCGUAAUAUCUGUUGAAAAGGAGAUAAUUGAGUUCCUUAGUGAAGGAGGGAACAAUAGAGAGAAGAUGGAUUUCAAGGUUGAGGAGUUGCGGCAUAAACUGGAGCAGUGUUCGGGCCCAGGUAUUGUGUUGAGUUUUGGAGAGCUGAAGGCUUUGGUCGACGAGAAGCUGUCCAGUGGUGCUUUGAGUUACUUGGUUUCGAAAUUAACGGGUUUAUUGGAGGGUUUUAAAGACAAGUUGCGGAUGAUGGGAGCUACGGCAGUAUAUGAAACGUAUUCCAAAUUUUUAGGGGAAUUUCCAGCUAUAGAAAAGGAUUGGGAUCUUCAUAUUCUGCCCAUCACUUCUUCUAAAAGCCCUAUUGAUUGUUUUGGCUCCAAAUCUAGCUUGAUGGGGUCUUUUGUUCCAUUUGGUGGUUUCUUCUCUACACCAUCUGAUCUCAAAUAUCCGUUAUGCAACGUAGCUCAAUCCAUCACUCAAUGUCAUCUUUGCACUGCAAAGUAUGAGCAAGAAGUUACUGCAAUGCUGAAGGGUUCUACGGUUUCAAUUGCAGAUCAGUACUCAGAGAACUUACCUUCUUGGUUACAGAUGGCUCAGCUUGACACAGGCAAGGGAUUGGAUGUAGCUAAGUGCAGACCAAAAAUGAUGGAACAACACUGAAUGCUAGAAUUUUGGGGCUGCAAAGGAAAUGGAGUGAUAUCUGCCAACGAAUUCAUCGUGCUCAGCCUUUCUCCAAAUUUGAUGUUUCCCAGGGCAGGGCCCAGGCAUUAGUUUUGGAGGGCUUUCAAUAUGUUGCAGAUAGGAAGGAAAGCAGCAGUGGUAGCUGCAGCAGAGAUUCACUACUUAAUGAGAGUCAAUGUGCAAAUCUUAGUCUUGGUGUUCAUAUGGAUUUGCAAAAUGAUUUUCCAAAGAGAAAUAGCAUCCCAAUAACAGUAGAUUCUGAAACUGAGAAUGUCAAUUGCCAAUCUAAGCUAAUCAAAGAAGCAUCAAAAAGUCAGCAAAAAGAGAAAGAUAGUCCUUGGUUUACCCCUUUCACUUUGCCCCAUAUGAGUCUGCCUGCUGACCACACAUCAUCUUCAUCUGUUACUUCUGUGACCACAGAUUUGGGGUUAGGAAUACUUUAUGCAUCGAGUUCCCAGGAGACGAAUACUCCAAAAUUGUGUGAUCGUGGAGAACAUUUUCAACAAUUCUCAGGUUUUAAUACUUUUGAAUUUGGAGUUGGUGAGAGUACUUCACGUCAGAUCUUACAAUCUUCAUGUUCUAAUCCUUCUUCAGGAGGUCAUUUUGAUUCAAGGGAUUACAAGUCAAUCAGGAAAGCUCUUAUUGAAAAAGUUGGGUGGCAAGAGGAUGCCAUAUGUUCUAUUAGUCAAGCCAUAACUCGUUGCAAAGCAGGAUAUGGAAGACGCCGGGGCUCAACUGCGAGAGGAGAUAUUUGGCUUAGUUUCAUUGGACCUGACAAAGUUGGAAAGAAAAGAAUUGCUUCCACGCUUGCUGAGAUAAUUUUUGGUAGCCAAGAAAACCUAGUCUCCGUUGAUUUGAGCUUCCAUGGUGGGGUUAGGCCGUCAAACUCUGUCUUUGAAUGCCAAGAGUUUAAUGACUACGAUGUGAAAUUUAGGGGGAAGACAAUUGUUGAUUAUAUUGCAAUGGAGCUGAGCAAGAAGCCCCAUUCUGUCGUAUUCCUGGAAAACGUAGAGAAGGCCGAUUGUCUGGCGCAGACUAGCUUGUCCCAGGCUGUGAGAACAGGUAAAUUUCCAGAUUCACAUGGGAGAGAAAUCAGCAUCAACAAUAUGAUUUUUGUGACAACAUCAACAAUUGCAAUGGGUAAUAUAAAGUUUCAGCCACAGAAGGAACCUAUUAAGUUAUCUGAAGAAAACAUUCUUCGAGCCAAAAGCUGGCAAAUGCGAAUGUUAACUGAACCUGUUGCUGAGUGUGCCAGCUUAAGCAGUGAAAUGAAUGUGAAGAUUUCAAGAAAAGUAACCUCCAGUGCGUCAUUUGAGAAUAAAAGAAAACUGGAUGGAAUCACCAAAUCUGCAGAAGAGGAAUUCAGUUACGAGGCUAAGAAACGGGCACAUAAAGUGUUGGGAUCCUCUCUGGAUUUGAAUCUCCCUGUGGAGGAGACUGAAGACAACACCAAUUCUGGUAGUUGUGACAGUGAUUCCAUCUCUGAAAACUCAACUUGGUUGGAAAAUUUCAUUGAACAAGUGGAUGAAAAGGUAUUAUUCAAGUCAUUUGAUUUUGAUGCUCUUUGUGAGAAAAUAGGGAGGAAAAUCAGUGUACAAGUUCAGAGGGCAUUUGGAUCUGAGAUUUUACUGGAGAUUGAUGAUGAAGUCAUGAUGCAAAUAACUGCAGCUUCUUGGUUAUGCACCAGAAGCAGAGCAAUGGAGGACUGGAUCGAAAGCGUCCUCGGUAGGGGCUGCAGUGAAGCCCGGCAGAAGUACCACAGUAAUGCUCAGUAUGUUGUAAAACUAGUUUCUUGUAAAGGCCUUUUGGUGGAUGAGCGAGCUCCUGGAAUAUGUCUACCUUCCAGAAUUAAUCUGUAAACUGAUUUUUCUUGCUUACCAAUGUUUCUUGUAAAAUAUAUGUAUAAUGUAGCAUUUAGCAUAUAGCUUCAGCACAUGAAAUGCGUUUUUUGGUUAAUUAAAGCCAUAAAGUUUUAGGGUAUUUGUUGUCCUGUUGUAUUGAAUGUAAGUAUCUAAAAAAAAGGGAAAAAAAAGUGGGAAGAAUCUAUAAUUUUUUUCUAAUUGGGCAAGUUCUAGGGUCCUUCAGUCUCUGCUUUGCCAUGAAAAUGGACACUGCAAGUUUUGAGGCUGAAUGAGAAGUCUCUGUUGUUGGUCAGAAGUGGAAAGGAGAUUGUGAAGUUUGCUUUUGUUGUGCACUUUGGAAGCGUGUAAACCAAUCUCAUUCAUUAAUUGAAGAGAUGAUUCUUUAUGCUAUCAUUGAACGUAUUCCUCAAUGUCUAAGCUCUAUGAUGUUGCUUUUAGUAUUUUAUUCAAACUAAUAUUGCUUUUCUCCUUCCUAGUUUCUUAAUGUAAG
RNAcentral lists this unclassified non-coding RNA (4314 nucleotides) under Hevea brasiliensis (rubber tree). The record is from RNAcentral. Lineage: Eukaryota; Viridiplantae; Streptophyta; Magnoliopsida; Malpighiales; Euphorbiaceae.